GAUGAACGCUGGCGGCGUGCCUAAUACAUGCCAGUCGAGCGAACAGACGAGGAGCUUGCUCCUCUGACGUUAGCGGCGGACGGGUGAGUAACACGUGGAUAACCUACCUAUAAGACUGGGAUAACUUCGGGAAACCGGAGCUAAUACCGGAUAAUAUAUUGAACCGCAUGGUUCAAUAGUGAAAGACGGUUUUGCUGUCCCUUAUAGAUGGAUCCGCGCCGCAUUAGCUAGUUGGUAAGGUAACGGCUUACCAAGGCAACGAUGCGUAGCCGACCUGAGAGGGUGAUCGGCCACACUGGAACUGAGACACGGUCCAGACUCCUACGGGAGGCAGCAGUAGGGAAUCUUCCGCAAUGGGCGAAAGCUUGACGGAGCAACGCCGCGUGAGUGAUGAAGGUCUUCGGAUCGUAAAACUCUGUUAUUAGGGAAGAACAAAUGUGUAAGUAACUAUGCACGUCUUGACGGUACCUAAUCAGAAAGCCACGGCUAACUACGUG
Molecule: ribosomal RNA, 497 nt
Filed under: uncultured bacterium
Lineage: Bacteria
Description: partial 16S ribosomal RNA
Rfam family: Bacterial small subunit ribosomal RNA
Source: RNAcentral